This 465-nucleotide ribosomal RNA is filed under the name uncultured bacterium. RNAcentral describes it as "partial 16S ribosomal RNA". It matches the Rfam family "Bacterial small subunit ribosomal RNA", at positions 28 to 507 of the family's 1533-position model. The record is from RNAcentral.
GACGAACGCUGGCGGCGUGCUUAACACAUGCAAGUCGUACGGUAAGGCCCUUUCGGGGGUACACGAGUGGCGAACGGGUGAGUAACACGUGAGUAACCUGCCCACAACUUUGGGAUAACGCUAGGAAACUGGUGCUAAUACUGGAUAUGUGCUCCUGCUGCAUGGUGGGGGUUGGAAAGCUCCGGCGGUUGUGGAUGGACUCGCGGCCUAUCAGCUUGUUGGUGGGGUAGUGGCCUACCAAGGCGGCGACGGGUAGCCGGCCUGAGAGGGUGACCGGCCACAUUGGGACUGAGAUACGGCCCAGACUCCUACGUGAGGCAGCAGUGGGGAAUAUUGCACAAUGGGCGCAAGCCUGAUGCAGCAACGCCGCGUGCGGGAUGACGGCCUUCGGGUUGUAAACCGCUUUCAGCAGGGACGAAGCUUUUUGUGACGGUACCUGCAGAAGAAGCACCGGCUAACUACGUG